UUUAUAAUUGGCUCUGUUCAGUAUUGCAAUCUAAAGCAUGCGUGGUCUGCCUGUCCCGUCUUGAAACACGGACCAAGGAGUCUAACAUGUGCGCGAGUCAUUGGGAAAGUAAACCCAAAGGCAUAAUGAAAGUGAAGAUUCGAUUACGAAUUUGAGGAGAGAUCAUGUCUUUUGAUUGGUAUUCUGUAAAGUUUACUGAUGAAAGUAUGCGCAUCUCCUGGACGUCUGUACCUCUGAA
This 238-nucleotide ribosomal RNA is filed under the name Tritomurus falcifer. Its description in RNAcentral is "partial large subunit ribosomal RNA". It matches the Rfam family "Eukaryotic large subunit ribosomal RNA", at positions 594 to 783 of the family's 3401-position model. Lineage: Eukaryota; Metazoa; Arthropoda; Collembola; Entomobryomorpha; Tomoceridae. The record is from RNAcentral.